Molecule: ribosomal RNA, 813 nt
Filed under: Diaporthe phaseolorum
Lineage: Eukaryota; Fungi; Ascomycota; Sordariomycetes; Diaporthales; Diaporthaceae
Description: LSU rRNA
Rfam family: Eukaryotic large subunit ribosomal RNA
Source: RNAcentral
GCCCUAGUAACGGCGAGUGAAGCGGCAACAGCUCAAAUUUGAAAUCUGGCCUCGGCCCGAGUUGUAAUUUGCAGAGGAUGCUUCUGGCGCGGUGCCUUCCGAGUUCCCUGGAACGGGACGCCACAGAGGGUGAGAGCCCCGUAUGGUCGGACACCAAGCCUGUGUGAAGCUCCUUCGACGAGUCGAGUAGUUUGGGAAUGCUGCUCUAAAUGGGAGGUAAAUCUCUUCUAAAGCUAAAUACCGGCCAGAGACCGAUAGCGCACAAGUAGAGUGAUCGAAAGAUGAAAAGCACCUUGAAAAGGGGGUUAAAUAGUACGUGAAAUUGUUGAAAGGGAAGCACUUAUGACCAGACUUGGGCCGGGCGGCUCAUCAGGGGUUCUCCCCUGUGCACUCCGCCCGGCACAGGCCAGCAUCGGUUUUCGCGGGGGGAUAAGACCGGCGGGAACGUAGCACCCUCCGGGGUGUGUUAUAGCCCGCCGGACGAUACCCUCGCGGGGACCGAGGUCCGCGCUCCGCAAGGAUGCUGGCGUAAUGGUCAUCAGUGACCCGUCUUGAAACACGGACCAAGGAGUCGUCCAUUAGAGCGAGCGUUUGGGUGUAAAACCCGCACGCGUAAUGAAAGUGAACGCAGGUGAGAGCUUCGGCGCAUCAUCGACCGAUCCUGAUGUUCUCGGAAGGAUUUGAGUAAGAGUUUUAACGGACGGACCCGAAAGACAGUGAACUAUGCUUGUAUAGGGUGAAGCCAGAGGAAACUCUGGUGGAGGCUCGCAGCGGUUCUGACGUGCAAAUCGAUCGUCAAAUAUGAGCAUGGGG